RNAcentral lists this small RNA (1171 nucleotides) under Pongo abelii (Sumatran orangutan). Its description in RNAcentral is "processed transcript". The record is from RNAcentral. Lineage: Eukaryota; Metazoa; Chordata; Mammalia; Primates; Hominidae.
GGCUCUCCGCGGCACGGGAUUUAGCGUUCGCGCUCCUUCCCUUCCCGUGGUGGAGCUGAGUCCUGACAUGGGGGCUGCAUCAAGAUCUUGUCAUUCCACAUCAUGGUUUCCUUUGAGGACGUGGCUGUACCCCUGUCCCAGGAGGAGUGGGACUGUCUGAUCCCUGCUCAGAGGGGCCUCUACAAGGAUGUGAUGAUGGAGACCUAUGGGAACCUAGUCUCACUAGUAGGUGAAUGGUUAAGCAAACUGUGGUACAUCCAUACCAUGGAAUACUACUCAACAAUCAAAAGGAACUGCCCAGACUUCACCACGAUGCAAUAUAUGCAUGUAAGAAAUCUGCACUUAUACCCCCUGAAUAUAUAAAACAUUUUUAAAAGAAAAAAAGGAAGAAACUUGAUACAUGCAACAACUUGGAUGGAUUUCAAGGGAGUUAUGCUGAAUGAAAAAAAGUCAACCUCAUAAGAUUACAUUCUGUAUUAUUCCAUUCAUACAACAUUCUUGAAAUGACAAAAUUACAGAGAUGGAGAACAGAACAGUGGUAGCCACAGGUUGGGGUGAGGGGAUAAGAAAGGGAUGUGGCUGUGGCUGUAAAAGGGCAGCACAAGGGAUCCAUGUGAUAGAACUCUUCUGUCUCUUGUGAUGGUGGUCACAUGAAUCUAUACAUGUGAUAAUACUGCAUAGAAUUAAAUACACAUACAUGAAAAGUUCAAGCAAUCGAGCACAAAUAUUUUAAUUGUCUAAAAUGACAUUUUCUUUAAGAGUUAUCUACAGUUUAAAGCUCACUUUUAUGAAGUGUCACAUCCAUCACCAUUUUAAGAGACAUAAAAUCAUGAAAAGAUAUCACCAGAAGCUACGUAAACAUUUCAGCUAAGGGUAAAGAGAAAGUUAAGGGUGUUUUCACAAGGAAAUUGAAAGAAGGCAAUCUGAAUGAACUCAACAUGGUCACACAAAAAUCUUGGUAAAAGAACUAGAAUAGAAGCCCAAACUGCUGAGCAAGUGGGAGAAGAAAAGAAGACUUGGUACAAACAGAUCACACAAGGGAACCCAGGACAAAUGCUGACUUUGGCAUUAUCUAAGUAACCCUUUUUUUUUUUGUCAUAGGUGACUCUGAUAAUAGACCUAUUGUUGCAAAACCAGUCAAAAUCCUACCAAAUUAAAAAGAAGUCCCUCA